This 496-nucleotide ribosomal RNA is filed under the name uncultured bacterium. Its description in RNAcentral is "partial 16S ribosomal RNA". It matches the Rfam family "Bacterial small subunit ribosomal RNA", at positions 28 to 506 of the family's 1533-position model. The record is from RNAcentral.
GAUGAACGCUGGCGGCGUGCCUAAUACAUGCAAGUCGAGCGAACAGACGAGGAGCUUGCUCCUCUGACGUUAGCGGCGGACGGGUGAGUAACACGUGGAUAACCUACCUAUAAGACUGGGAUAACUUCGGGAAACCGGAGCUAAUACCGGAUAAUAUAUUGAACCGCAUGGUUCAAUAGUGAAAGACGGUUUUGCUGUCACUUAUAGAUGGAUCCGCGCCGCAUUAGCUAGUUGGUAAGGUAACGGCUUACCAAGGCAACGAUGCGUAGCCGACCUGAGAGGGUGAUCGGCCACACUGGAACUGAGACACGGUCCAGACUCCUACGGGAGGCAGCAGUAGGGAAUCUUCCGCAAUGGGCGAAAGCUUGACGGAGCAACGCCGCGUGAGUGAUGAAGGUCUUCGGAUCGUAAAACUCUGUUAUUAGGGAAGAACAAAUGUGUAAGUAACUAUGCACGUCUUGACGGGACCUAAUCAGAAAGCCACGGCGAACUACGU